Molecule: small RNA, 75 nt
Filed under: Carlito syrichta (Philippine tarsier)
Lineage: Eukaryota; Metazoa; Chordata; Mammalia; Primates; Tarsiidae
Description: Deleted in lymphocytic leukemia 2 conserved region 3 (ENSTSYG00000031164.1)
Source: RNAcentral
AAAGCAGAAUUUACCAACAAGAUGUUGUUCCUUGCUAUUUGCUCUUCAAAGUCAUCUUCAUCCUAGUGCUCAGAG